Molecule: ribosomal RNA, 447 nt
Filed under: uncultured Pseudomonas sp.
Lineage: Bacteria; Pseudomonadati; Pseudomonadota; Gammaproteobacteria; Pseudomonadales; Pseudomonadaceae
Description: bacterial SSU rRNA
Rfam family: Bacterial small subunit ribosomal RNA
Source: RNAcentral
GGAGCAUGUGGUUAAUUCGAAGCAACGCGAAGAACCUUACCAGGCCUUGACAUGCAGAGAACUUUCCAGAGAUGGAUUGGUGCCUUCGGGAACGUCUGACACAGGUGCUGCAUGGCUGUCGUCAGCUCGUGUCGUGAGAUGUUGGGUUAAGUCCGUAACGAGCGCAACCCUUGUCCUUAGUUACCAGCACGUUAUGGUGGGCACUCUAAGGAGACUGCCGGUGCAAACCGGAGGAAGGUGGGGGUGACGUCAAGUCAUCAUGGCCCUUACGGCCUGGGCUACACACGUGCUACAAUGGUCGGUACAAAGGGUUGCCAAGCCGCGAGGUGGAGCUAAUCCCAUAAAACCGAUCGUAGUCCGGAUCGCAGUCUGCAACUCGACUGCGUGAAGUCGGAAUCGCUAGUAAUCGUGAAUCAGAAUGUCACGGUGAAUACGUUCCCGGGCCUU